UACAGAGGUCUCAAGCGUUGUUCGGAUUCAUUGGGCGUAAAGGGUGCGUAGGUGGCGCCGUAAGUCGGGUGUGAAAUUUCGGAGCUUAACUCCGAAACUGCAUUCGAUACUGCGGUGCUUGAGGACUGGAGAGGAGACUGGAAUUCAUGGUGUAGCAGUGAAAUGCGUAGAGAUCAUGAGGAAGACCAGUGGCGAAGGCGGGUCUCUGGACAGUUCCUGACGCUGAGGCGCGAAGGCCAGGGGAGCAAACGGG
This 253-nucleotide ribosomal RNA is filed under the name uncultured bacterium. RNAcentral describes it as "partial 16S ribosomal RNA". It matches the Rfam family "Bacterial small subunit ribosomal RNA", at positions 524 to 776 of the family's 1533-position model. The record is from RNAcentral.